GACGAACGCUGGCGGCGCGCCUAAUACAUGCAAGUCGAACGAGUACGCACUUCGGUGCAAUGUACGAGUGGCGAACGGGUGAGUAACACGUGAGAAACCUGCCUCGGAGACCGGGACAACCAUUGGAAACGAUGGCUAAUACCGGAUGUCCUUUUACGGUCGCAUGACUGUUUGAGGAAAUGAUCCGUCGCUCCGGGAGGGUCUCGCGGCCUAUCAGCUUGUUGGUGAGGUAAUGGCUCACCAAGG
RNAcentral lists this ribosomal RNA (246 nucleotides) under uncultured Acidimicrobiaceae bacterium. Its description in RNAcentral is "partial 16S ribosomal RNA". It matches the Rfam family "Bacterial small subunit ribosomal RNA", at positions 28 to 273 of the family's 1533-position model. Lineage: Bacteria; Bacillati; Actinomycetota; Acidimicrobiia; Acidimicrobiales; Acidimicrobiaceae. The record is from RNAcentral.